AAGCCUGCUACCGAAGCUUGGGGUGCCCGCGAGGGCGCAGUAGGGGAGCGUUCUGGGAGCGGAGAAGCACGUCUGGCAAGGGCGUGUGGAGCGACCAGAAGUGAGAAUGCUGGCAUGAGUAGCGAGAAACAUGUGAGAACCAUGUUCGCCGGAAGUCUAAGGGUUCCGACGGAAGGUCAGUCCGCGUCGGGUUAGUCGGGCCUAAGCCGAGGCUGAGAAGCGUAGGCGAUGGACAACAGGUGAAUAAUCCUGUACCACCUGGAGGGAGCGAAGGAGGGACGCCGCGGGGUAGCUCAGCCGCCGCAGUGGAUGGCGGUGCGAAGCGAGAUAGCCGAUGAAGGGGAAGGGAAAUCCGCCCUGGAGGUGAAGGCGCGAGCGCGGAGCCUACGGGCCACAAGUGAGCGAGCCAGACGGCCGAGAAAAGCUUCUAAGUGAUGAACUCCGGGUGACCGUACCGCAAACCGACACAGGUAGACGGGUAGAGGAUACCAAGGCGAACGGGAGAACCCUCGUUAAGGAACUAGGCAAAAUGGCCCCGUAACUUCGGGAGAAGGGGCGCCCCCUGCUGGGGGGCCGCAGUGAAAGGGCUCUGCCGACUGUUUAACAAAAGCACAGGUCUCUGCAAACGCGUAAGCGGACGUAUAGGGGCUGACGCCUGCCCAGUGCCGGAAGGUUAAGGGGACGGGUUAGCGCAAGCGAAGCUCGGAACCGAAGCCCCGGUGAACGGCGGCCGUAACUAUAACGGUCCUAAGGUAGCGAAAUUCCUUGUCGGGUAAGAUCCGACCCGCACGAAUGGCGUAACGAGCGGAGCACUGUCCCAACGAGGGGCCCGGCGAAAUUGAAAUACGUGUGAAGAUGCGCGUUACCCGCAGCAGGACAAAAAGACCCCGUGGAGCUUUACUACAACUUGCUAUGGCGUUAGGGCUUGGCUUGUGCAGGAUAGCUGGGAGGCAGAGAAGCUGGGACGACAGUCUCGGUGGAGCCGCUGGUGAGAUACCAGCCUGGCGAAGUCUUGGCCCUAACCGUACACCGUGAACCGGGUACGGGACAGUGGCAGGCGGGUAGUUUGACUGGGGCGGUCGCCUCCGAAAGGGUAACGGAGGCGCCCAAAGGUGCCCUCAGGGUGAAUGGAAACCACCCGAAGAGUGUAAAGGCAGAAGGGCGCUUGACUGCGAGGCCUACGAGCCGAGCAGAGCCGAAAGGCGGGCUUAGUGAUCCCACGGUACCGAGUGGAAGGGCCGUGGCUUACCGGAUAAAAGCUACCCCGGGGAUAACAGGCUGGUCUGGUCCAAGAGUUCACAUCGACGACCAGGCUCGGCACCUCGAUGUCGGCUCAUCGCAUCCUGGGGCUGGAUCAGGUCCCAAGGGUUGGGCUGUUCGCCCAUUAAAGCGGUACGUGAGCUGGGUUCAGACCGUCGUGAGACAGGUCGGUCUCUAUCCGCUGUGGGCGCAAGGAGGUUGAGGGGAGCUGCCCCUAGUACGAGAGGACCGGGGUGGACGCAGCGCUGGUGUGCCGGUUGUCACGCCCGUGGCAUAGCCGGGUAGCCACCUGCGGAACAGAGAACCGCUGAAAGCAUCUAAGCGGGAAGCUGACCUCAAGAUGAGCCUCCUCACCGGGAAACCGGGUAAGACCGCUGGGAGACGACCAGCUAGAUAGGCCGGACGUGGAAGCGUCGUAAGGCGCGCAGCGAACCGGUACUAAGGGUCGAGGGCUUAUCCU
This 1720-nucleotide ribosomal RNA is filed under the name metagenome. RNAcentral's name for it is "bacterial LSU rRNA". It matches the Rfam family "Bacterial large subunit ribosomal RNA", at positions 1184 to 2925 of the family's 2925-position model. The record is from RNAcentral.